RNAcentral lists this ribosomal RNA (1929 nucleotides) under human gut metagenome. RNAcentral's name for it is "bacterial LSU rRNA". It matches the Rfam family "Bacterial large subunit ribosomal RNA", at positions 512 to 2449 of the family's 2925-position model. The record is from RNAcentral.
AGGUGAAAAGCACUUCGAACAGAAGAGUGAAAUAGUCCCUGAACCCAUACGCCUACAAGCUGUCGGAGCCGCUUCGUGCGGUGACGGCGUGCCUUUUGCAUAAUGAGCCUACGAGUUACUCAUCACCAGCGAGGUUAAGUACUUCAGGUACGUAAGCCGAAGCGAAAGCGAGUCUGAAUAGGGCGUCAAGUUGGUGGUGGUAGACGCGAAACCUUAGUGAUCUACCCAUGGGCAGGGUGAAGGUUUGGUAACACAAACUGGAGGCCCGAACCGGUAAACGUUGAAAAGUUUUCGGAUGACCUGUGGGUAGGGGUGAAAGGCCAAUCAAACUGGGAAAUAGCUCGUACUCUCCGAAAUGCAUUUAGGUGCAGCCUCUGUUGUUUUGUUCUAGAGGUAGAGCUACUGAUUGGAUGCGAGGGCUUCACCGCCUAUCAAAUCCGGCCAAACUCCGAAUGCUAGAACAUGAAGACAGGGAGUGAGCCAGCGGGUGCUAAGGUCCGUUGACGAAAGAGGGAGAACUCAGACCAUCAGCUAAGGUCCCCAAUUGUAUGCUAAGUUGGAAUUAAAACGGGGUGGGACUGCUUAGACAGCUAGGAUGUUGGCUUGGAAGCAGCCAUUCAUUUAAAGAGUGCGUAACAGCUCACUAGUCGAGCGGUCCUGCAUGGAUAAUACGCGGGCAUAAGCAUAUAACCGAAGCUAUGGGAUUGUAGAUGAUACAAUCGGUAGGAGAGCAUUCCAUUCAGCAUAGAAGCAGUACCGUGAGGUAUUGUGGAGCGGAUGGAAAAGCAAAUGUAGGCAUAAGUAACGAUAAUGCGGGUGAGAACCCCGCACGCCGAAAGAUCAAGGAUUCCCCGGCAAUGUCAAUCAUCCGGGGGUAAGUCGGAUCCUAAGGGUAAGCCGAGUGGCGAUCCCGAUGGCAAACAGGUUAAUAUUCCUGUACUGAUCAUAACUGCGAUGCAGCGACGCAGAGGUGACACUGCUGCGUACUGACGGAAUAGUACGUUGAAACCCGUAUUCUUUGAUACCGGUAGUGAAGCACGCCGGUAGAGAUGAAAGGUGAUAGUACCGCAAUGCUUCGGUUGCGCGGAUAAUGCAGGUAAGCUGACUGCCAAGAAAACCUGCUAAGCUUCAGGUAAUGAUCAUCCGUACUGUAAACGGACACACGUGAUCAGGUAGAAAAUACUAAGGCGCUCGAGAGAUUCAUGGUUAAGGAACUAGGCAAAAUGGUCCUGUAACUUCGGGAUAAAGGACGCUCUUUUACAAGAGCCGCAGAUAAUAGGCCCAGGCGACUGUUUACCAAAAACACAUGGCUAUGCUAAUUCGCAAGAAGAUGUAUAUGGCCUGACACCUGCCCGGUGCCGGAAGGUUAAGAGGAGAGCUCAGAUGUAAGUCGAAGGUUUGAAUUGAAGCCCCGGUAAACGGCGGCCGUAACUAUAACGGUCCUAAGGUAGCGAAAUUCCUUGUCGGGUAAGUUCCGACCUGCACGAAUGGUGUAACGAUCUGGGUACUGUCUCAACCAUGAGCUCGGUGAAAUUGUAGUUCCGGUGAAGAUGCCGGAUACCCGCAACGGGACGGAAAGACCCCGUGAACCUUUACUGCAGCUUUGCAUUGAUUUUGGGUAACAGAUGUGUAGGAUAGGUCGGAGGCUUUGAUGCUGCGUCGUCAGGCGUAGAGUAGCCGUCGUUGAAAUACGACCCUUUUGUUAUCUGAGGUCUAAUCCCGUUAGGGAGACAUUGCAUGGUGGGUAGUUUGACUGGGGUGGUCGCCUCCAAAAGUGUAACGGAGGCUUCUCAAGGUACCCUCAAGGCGUUUGGUAAUCGUCUGCAGAGUGCAAUGGCAUAAGGGUGCUUGACUGUGAGACCGACACGUCGAUCAGGUUGGAAACAAGAGCAUAGUGAUCCGGUGGUUCCGCAUGGAAGGGCCAUCGCU